ACACUUUUGAUUAGAAAACUUCUUGAUUAGAGUUUUUGAGGAAGGUUAGAAGCGACCAGAUAUCUACUUUACAGAAUAGAUGUGGUUUCGUUUCAAGGGCAGGAUGGGAUUGAUUGGGGGAAAGUGUAUGUGUAUGUGAAGGGUGAAG
Molecule: non-coding RNA, 148 nt
Organism: Caenorhabditis elegans
Lineage: Eukaryota; Metazoa; Nematoda; Chromadorea; Rhabditida; Rhabditidae
Source: Ensembl